AGGGCUCGGGAGCACUGAGUAGCUACUGCUGCCUAGGAGGAAGGGAGUGCCUGGCAUUAGUCACCAAAACCUAGGUCUGAAUCAGUUCGCGGAGUCCUGAUUCAGCAAAUUAAACACUGCUGUGAACACAGACGGGCCCUCAGCACGCUGUACUGGAGCAGAAGGCUGCUGGGAAGCCUCAGGUGAUGCCAGAGACAUGGCUCUGGAGCCCCUGCACGAUGAUGCAGACCCAGCAGGACAUGGUCUGGGUCUCCAUGGGCUUGGAUCCAGGCGUGGGACUGUGGUGCACAGGAUGGAUCCUGUCUCCUGGGGGAGCCAUGGCCAUGAGAGGCGUAGGAGGUGUCCUGAUUUAUUUGUUUGUUUCAUUUUAAGCACGGCGUGGCUUUCUGAGUAUUUCCAGCACCAGCAGACGUUGCUUGAGGGAGAAGCUGGACUUCCCAGAUCCAUCUGUCACUGUUUGCCUGGAUGGUUCAGUUCUCUCAGGAUGUUUCUUUUACUUCUGUUCCUACGAAAGCAGGCUGACGGCCCGCUGCAUAAUUCCUGGCCAGGAAGUCCCCUCGGUGGCUUUUCAUCUUGUGCCUUUCUUCUGACACGCCCGGCCCUGGUGACCUCCUCUUGGAAGAACUAUCGAUUUCCCUUGAAACACUCACGCAGCCGCGCUGUGUCAAAGUACAAUACUGGUACAAUACGAAGCAAAGGAAUGUUGGCAAUACAACGUCCUGCGUAAGCUACGAUUGAGACACUAACAGGACCAUUUACUACCCUGUCUUCUAUGACAGCAACCUGGAUCAGAGGUUUUGUCUUCUGUUCCCCUGUGAAAACCUUAUCUGGAUGAUGCUGAGUCAUAUCAGUUUACAAACUUGCUGUGGGACUCCCUCCUACAUGGGUUUUUCAAGAACUUGCAAGUGUACUUUGUGCAAAUCAGCCCACUAGGAGCAUCUCUUCCCCGUUCACCACCUAAAUCAUUUCUGCACAAGCAAGUCUGGAUUUUGUUGCUCAUUGUUUGUUUUGGAGUCACAAGAAACCCAUUCAUCUUUGAAAAGCUUAAUUUCAUUUCAAAGUGACUUUAAAUAAGUAAUAGCUUAGAGCCGUUCUGUUUUUCAUUUUUCCCCUCUUUGGCCUCAGUACAUUCUCAUUCUUACAUUUUACUUGAACAAUCCAAAAGAGAUGAAAUUAUAUACCAAGAAUGUUGUUGUCGCAAGAGCAGUUCAGAGAAGGACUGAUAAUUUGCUCUUGCCCAUUCACGACUGCUGCAGAAGCCACUGUGAUAGCUGACAACUGUAAUGAGCCAAAGAAAAAUGUAAGUGAGGAUAAAGUGCCUGUGCGGGGCAUUACGUGCAGCUGCCUGUGGUCUGAGCUGGCUGGAUGCAAGCCAGAUUGGUCUGGAUAUUAGGUAGCUGCAUUGACCAGAAAGCUAAGAGCUGUGUUGGUAAACCCUGCUCAGAGAGUGGUUAUGGUAAAUGCAAGCACGGUGUCACACCACUGUGGUUUCAGUUUUCUUAUCAAAGCUGGCCUGCAUCCUGGUAGCUCAAAGCAAAAGAGUAGACAAGCAAUGACCCACACUCAUCCAGCUAGACAUGACCCUACAGGUACGUAUAGGAUCCUUUAACGCUGUCUUUUUGUGGUUCUCCUUUCUCCCUCCCCAUUCUUUCUGUUAAAAUCAAUUGCACCUCCAUGCUGAUGCGUGCCCAGGCACCUAUAGUUUGGACAGGCAAGGCUGACAGCUCUUCUUCUGCUGGUGGGAUGUGGAUGAAGAGCAGCUGGUUCUUAUGCAAAACAAUUCAUUCUUCAAGAAAAUUCAACACUCAGCAUUUCAUUCUUCAAGAAAAUCAACUACUUAUUCAGGAGCUUCAGGACAAGCCUCCCUGUCCCUGUAAUCCGCUGCAGCUCCUCAUCCAAGUGAGCGCUUUUGAAUCUUUCUGUACUCCCGUGUGCAGCAAAAGACUGGGAUGUUUCACACUCAACCACCUCUCAGCUUAUACACGUCUGGGAUUUAAGAGAUACAAUUUUGCAGGACAGAAGCACACAUUAACCCAGUUAGGAUGAGCCAGUUCCCAAAGCACCUGCUACAACCUGCUCAUAGACAGCUCACGCUGUAAAUGCAGCCUCUUGCAGGAGCUGCGUUACUCCUGUCCAGCCCAGCUGGUGCCACUGCUCUUUUGUCUGCACUGGCAGACCUCCUCUGAAGGGUGAAGGGGAGGAGAUGACA
Molecule: long non-coding RNA, 2209 nt
Organism: Anas platyrhynchos (mallard)
Lineage: Eukaryota; Metazoa; Chordata; Aves; Anseriformes; Anatidae
Source: RefSeq, a predicted model, not a curated record